AAGCUCGUAGUUGAAUUUCGGGAUCGAUUUAUUGGUCGUGCAAUAGUACGUACUGGUAUUAAUGAUUCCUACCUUCUGACGAACCAUGAUGUCAUUAAUUUGGUGUUAUGGGGAAUCAGGACUGUUACUUUGAAAAAAUUAGAGUGUUUAAAGCAGGCUCACGCUUGAAUACAUUAGCAUGGAAUAACGAAAUAGGACGUUUGAUUCUAUUUUGUUGGUUUCUAGGAUCGACGUAAUGAUUAAUAGGGAUAGUUGGG
This 257-nucleotide ribosomal RNA is filed under the name uncultured Glomeromycotina. Its description in RNAcentral is "partial 18S ribosomal RNA". It matches the Rfam family "Eukaryotic small subunit ribosomal RNA", at positions 624 to 886 of the family's 1831-position model. The record is from RNAcentral. Lineage: Eukaryota; Fungi; Glomeromycota.